UUUUAAUCUCCCUGUUUAAACAAAUAUCUUUUGUUAAAAGUGUUUUGUUUGUCUGAUUUUUUUUUCCCAUAAUGAAAAAAAUGUAAUAAGCAAGUUGAAUUUAGCAUGAUGAGCAAACAAUGUAUUUGUUAGCAGUGUUUAAAUCUUCUAUAUUGCUUAAAAAACUAAGGAAUUUUUCAGUGUAAUUAAACUUUGUUUAUUGACUGUUUAACAAAAUCUAUUUUUAUAAAUAAUAUUUUUAUAUACAUACUUUGUACAAUCUAAU
Molecule: long non-coding RNA, 265 nt
Filed under: Mytilus galloprovincialis (Mediterranean mussel)
Lineage: Eukaryota; Metazoa; Mollusca; Bivalvia; Mytilida; Mytilidae
Source: RNAcentral